UACGUAGGCAGCAAGCGUUGUUCGGAAUUACUGGGCGUAAAGCGUACGUAGGCGGCUUUGUAAGUUAGAGGUGAAAGCCCGGGGCUCAACUCCGGAAUUGCCUUUAAGACUGCAUCGCUUGAAUCAUGGAGAGGUGAGUGGAAUUCCGAGUGUAGAGGUGAAAUUCGUAGAUAUUCGGAAGAACACCAGUGGCGAAGGCGACUCACUGGACAUGUAUUGACGCUGAGGUACGAAAGCGUGGGGAGCAAACAGG
RNAcentral lists this ribosomal RNA (253 nucleotides) under uncultured bacterium. Its description in RNAcentral is "partial 16S ribosomal RNA". It matches the Rfam family "Bacterial small subunit ribosomal RNA", at positions 524 to 776 of the family's 1533-position model. The record is from RNAcentral.